CCUGUGCCUCCUUAUAAUGGUCGCCGCUUUUUCGGAUGGCCCAGACUGUCCUUUCCCCAUCGAUGACGAAUAGCUGAUAGCUUUGCGCUUUGUAAUCGAUUACGAAGCUUCGAUACUUUGUUUACGUUUUAUGUGGAAUUGUGGUAAGAUUGUAUAUGGAAAAUCUUGCGGAAUUGAUAAGGACCGCUCUUCAUAUUUAAUUUUUUUUUUCUUGCUGUAUACGAGAGUGGACGCAAUAUGAAUAAAUCUCUAUGCUACAGUCAAUUAUUUCCAUUAUUCGAAUUAAUUCAUCUUGAGAACUUUAAAAGUCUUAAUAAACAGAAACUUACUCAUAUUGCUGAUACAAAAAAGAAAAAAAUUCUUAUCUUCUACUUGUUAUCUCAUUAUCGGAUUGUUUUAUAAGGUAUUUCUCCUGCCUUCGUAGCAUGCCUCGGCACAUAUUCGGGAGGUCCAUGGUUCUAGUCGCGGAGAGGGCAUUGCUCGUUUUUCACGUCUCUCAGCUUCCAAAAAAAUCCUAAUGUCUCUACAAUGUCUUCUUCAAAAUAAACAAAUAAUCUGAUGGAAUGAAAAUAUUUUGGUCAUUACAACUUUUAAUCACUGCUGUUUA
This is a long non-coding RNA of Stegodyphus dumicola, 607 nucleotides long. The record is from RefSeq and is a predicted model, not a curated record. Lineage: Eukaryota; Metazoa; Arthropoda; Arachnida; Araneae; Eresidae.